GUUCUUUUAGUUUAAUGGUAGAAUAGGAAUUUUCUAAAUUCACUGAUUAUGGUUCGAGUCCAUAAGAGAACU
This 72-nucleotide transfer RNA is filed under the name Cyathus pallidus. RNAcentral describes it as "tRNA-Arg". It matches the Rfam family "tRNA". From Rfam's summary of the family: Transfer RNA (tRNA) molecules are approximately 80 nucleotides in length. Their secondary structure includes four short double-helical elements and three loops (D, anti-codon, and T loops). Lineage: Eukaryota; Fungi; Basidiomycota; Agaricomycetes; Agaricales; Nidulariaceae. The record is from RNAcentral.